AUGAAGAUGUUGCUGGUGUUCCUGCUGAUACUGACAGUCCACAUUCAGGGAUCGUCGGCCAGUCCAACUGUGACUCAGUCUCCUGUGUCAAAGUCUGUCAGUGUGGGAGAGACGGUGUCUCUGAGCUGUACAGCCAGUACAGGAGUGGAUGAUGACCGCAGUUGGUACCUGCAGAAACCUGGACAACCUCCCAAACUGCUGUUUUACAAAACAAGCAGCCGUCAGUCCGGCACUCCGAGUCGUUUCAGCAGCAGUGGAUCUGAACCUGACUUCACUCUGACCAUCAGUGGAUUCCAGGCUGAAGAUGCAGCAGAUUACUACUGUAUGGGAGAGUAUGUGGGUCAGCGCACACAGUGA
Non-coding RNA from Epinephelus fuscoguttatus (brown-marbled grouper), 357 nucleotides. The record is from the annotation of a RefSeq genome assembly. Lineage: Eukaryota; Metazoa; Chordata; Actinopteri; Perciformes; Serranidae.